CUGUCAUUCAUCACCUUGAUUUUCUACGGAAGGCCCAGAAAAAUCUCAGAUACUCUCUGUUUCACUUUGCUUAUAGGCUCUUAAGAGGACAACAUCCUGGAUCCCACACCAGUACAACUGAUGAUGACAUUAACAUCCAAACGCCAACCAGAAAACGACCAACAAACACUACUACAGUAACCAUUGAACAAAGACAAUAUCACAGGUUCUUUAGCUAUUUAAUAUUCCAUCAAAUAUAAUUAUAUAAUACCUACCAAGGAUUUCCGAAUAGAAGGCAUUCUCAUCAUUCUCAUCUCAAGCAGCAACCUCACCAGUAACACAUUUUCAUAUCAUGUUUCCACCACAGGUCGCACAUAUAGAAAGAAUGAAGUAUUAAUUAGCUUCAACAGAGCCUAUUUCUUUAUUUCUUUUUUUCCCAAAUAAACCUUCAUUCUUAUACGUAUAAUUAAAAUAUCAACUGAAUAAACAAAGUCUGUGAUUACUAGUACAACAUUUUCAUUUUCAAGCGGAGCUAGAUAAGAUAUCGAUGUCUGUCAAAUAAACCUAAUUUAAUCUUGAAACCAUAAACUGCACUAAGCAUAGCAGCAAAGCCAGAGCCUGACUAUAAAGAAGAUAAUAUAUAUAUAUAUAUAGAGAUUAAACUUUUGUUUUAUCUUCCACAAGCAAGAAAUUCGACUGGAACAUGAAAUUUUUAACAAUCUUACAAACAUUAUACACAAAUCUCAAUUAACGGCAAAUAGGGGGAUGAAUCACUGACAUCACCCAAUUCAUAUAUUCAAUUAAUGUAUUCCCACCCCAGUCAGCAACGUGCUACCACAGUUGAUUAGUUAUUAGGGAUAAGGCUUACCGCAAAGAACUGAAUGGCGUUAUCUAAAUAAUGAGUUGAAACGGCAUCUGCAAUCGCAUUAAAUGGCAUUGAACCGAAAGGUAGGGUUUAAAUGAAUGUUGGCCUGAGACAAAAGGGCGUGGCAUAUUGGGGUCUUAUGGCUUCGUUUUGUUUCAAUUGACGGAGGGAAGCUGAGCGAAAGCUUUGAUAUGUAAAUUUCAGCUUAAUUUAAGCUAGGGUCUUCUUUCGAUUGAAACAGAAAAAGAUUUUGGGUUAUUAAAGUGAAAGAGAUGGAAUAAUACAAAAAAUUAGCAAAGUGAAAGCGAGGGAAUACAAGAUUUAUUAUGGGUCCUAAGAGCUGAAGGCAAUUCGCCAUGGUUCUGAUAUACGGAAAACUUUCUUAGCUUUAUCGGUGGUGGAAGUGAGGGUUAGGGCUAGGGUUCUACACAAUGUCGUUGAGAAUGGCUCAAAGUUCAUUGAUUUUAGGUUGCGGCGAGAGAGGGGUUUAUUCAACACUUGUCGAUAUUUGGCUGAAG
RNAcentral lists this long non-coding RNA (1362 nucleotides) under Citrus maxima (pomelo). Its description in RNAcentral is "long non-coding RNA (CMAX_LNC000101)". The record is from RNAcentral. Lineage: Eukaryota; Viridiplantae; Streptophyta; Magnoliopsida; Sapindales; Rutaceae.